RNAcentral lists this ribosomal RNA (446 nucleotides) under uncultured bacterium. RNAcentral describes it as "bacterial SSU rRNA". It matches the Rfam family "Bacterial small subunit ribosomal RNA", at positions 329 to 792 of the family's 1533-position model. The record is from RNAcentral.
CGCCAGACUCCUACGGGAGGCAGCAGUGGGGAAUAUUGCACAAUGGGGGAAACCCUGAUGCAGCGACGCCGCGUGAGCGAUGAAGUAUUUCGGUAUGUAAAGCUCUAUCAGCAGGGAAGAAGAUGACGGUACCUGACUAAGAAGCCCCGGCUAACUACGUGCCAGCAGCCGCGGUAAUACGUAGGGGGCAAGCGUUAUCCGGAUUUACUGGGUGUAAAGGGAGCGUAGACGGCGAUGCAAGCCAGAUGUGAAAGCCCGGGGCUCAACCCCGGGACUGCAUUUGGAACUGUGUGGCUGGAGUGUCGGAGAGGCAGGCGGAAUUCCUAGUGUAGCGGUGAAAUGCGUAGAUAUUAGGAGGAACACCAGUGGCGAAGGCGGCCUGCUGGACGAUGACUGACGUUGAGGCUCGAAAGCGUGGGGAGCAAACAGGAUUAGAUACCCGUGUA